AACGAACGCUGGCGGCAUGCCUAACACAUGCAAGUCGAACGGUGUUCCCGCUUCGGCGGGGGCAUAGUGGCGCACGGGUGAGUAACGCGUGGGAACCUGCCCCGUGGUACGGAACAACUCCGGGAAACUGGAGCUAAUACCGUAUGUGUCCCCUUGGCCAAAGAUUGCAUCGCCAUGGGAGGGGCCCGCGUAGGAUUAGGUAGUUGGCGGGGGAACGGCCCACCAAGCCCGCGAUCCUUAGCUGGUCUGAGAGGAUGAUCAGCCACACUGGGACUGAGACACGGCCCAGACUCCUACGGGAGGCAGCAGUGGGGAAUAUUGGACAAUGGGCGCAAGCCUGAUCCAGCAAUGCCGCGUGAGUGAUGAAGGCCUUCGGGUUGUAAAGCUCUUUCGCACGCGACGAUGAUGACGGUAGCGUGAGAAGAAGCCCCGGCUAACUUCGUGCCAGCCGCCGCCGUAA
Molecule: ribosomal RNA, 460 nt
Filed under: uncultured bacterium
Lineage: Bacteria
Description: partial 16S ribosomal RNA
Rfam family: Bacterial small subunit ribosomal RNA
Source: RNAcentral